This 1061-nucleotide small RNA is filed under the name Pongo abelii (Sumatran orangutan). RNAcentral's name for it is "retained intron". The record is from RNAcentral. Lineage: Eukaryota; Metazoa; Chordata; Mammalia; Primates; Hominidae.
UGGAUUAACAGGGGGACCCUCAGCGAGACGCAGGGACUGGCCCGCACCUCUGGCAGCCGCCUCCCGCCUUUCCUCGCCGAGAACCGAGUUCUAGUGGGGGAAACGUCUGACAUCUGGACAUCAAGGUAAGACCCUGAUGGAGAUGUUUUAGUUGGAGCAGUUUUCUGCCCUCGGAGUGCGCCCGGACGGCCGGGAGUUUCAGGGACGUCUUGGGAGCCUACCGGAGGAAGGCCCGGCUUUGCUCCAAGCCGCGUCCCUACCUGAGGUCUCCGCGGGAGGAGCGGUUUGGACGCGCCCCACCGGGUGGGAGGAGGUGCUUGGGGAAGCCGGGCCCUACCGCUGGGCUGACGCGCGGCUUUUCUCUGCCAGUGCAACCACCAUUACGGCGUGAUCCACUCCUUUUCCUCUAAGAAUGCUGAACGGUACCACUCUAGAGGCAGGUGAGUUAUGUGCCAGGUUCCUUCUGAUGUUCUCUGCCCCUUGGGCCAGUGCGUAUACCAUGUGAGUGUGUGUGCGUGUGUGUGCGCCUUCGUUGGGUGGAACGAAGAGGAGUGUGUGUUUGUCUUAAAAAUUAAACCGCGCUUCGUAGGCUCAAAAAUACACAUUCUCUUUCAGAGUCUCCUGAUAGGACUCCUGAAACCCUCCUUUUGCCUUUCUCUUUGACUGUCUUUGACUUUCCUCAGGAUCAGGGUCCGGGGCGCCAGGCAGCGGUCCUGGUUCCACUGAUCCUCCAGUAGUCAGUGGCUCAAGGGACGCGCUCCUGACCCUCCGGGGAGCUGCUGGGGGUGUCUCUUUCUUGGAAGGGAUGGAAGGCGGGCCGAGAAGACACCAUUUCUCACACGUGUAGGGGUUAACUGGAAACUGGCUUCACCCACAUUUUUUUGUUGUUGUUCAGUCCUAACCUAGCGCAGCCGUUUCUGCGCCUGAUCUCAGCGGACGCAGUGCGGGACUUCUCCCUUUAUUUCUGCAGAGCUGAGGGCAGGCGGCGCAACAAAUCUCAGGUAAAAGAGCAUCAGAUUUCAGAAGCGCUGUAUUCUAGACUUGGCGCAGGCCCCUUUGGG